AUGUGUAACCACAGAGAGAAGAGAGAUCGAGGGACCUGUGACCAACAUUUGGCCUCAGAGCUAGAUUCGGCGGCGGCGCCGAUGGCCACGACGCCGGAGGGGCUGCAGAAGGCCCUGGAGGAUGCGCUGGCCGAGAUAAACGCGAUGCGGCUGGAGGUGGAGGCGACCAAGGCGGAGUUGGCGGCGGAGAAAGAGAAGCUGGGACUGGUACCGGCGGCGACGGCGCUGCCGGUGAGGUCCCGGGCGCCCAUCAACUACCCACAGCUCACACGCAGCAACUACACGCUCUGGGCGAUGCAGAUGCGUGUGGCGAUGCAGUCGGCGGGAGUUUGGUCGGCGACGAGCUCCGAGGACGUCGACCACGAGAUGGACCGUGACGCCCUCCUCGCCAUCUAUCAGGGGGUGCCGGAAGAUGUCCUGGCGUCCCUCGCCGGCAAGGACACGGCGAAGCAGGCGUGGGAGGCGAUCAAGGUCGUGAACGUCGGCCACGACCGCGUUCGUGAGACGAACCUACAGACCUUGCGGAAGGCGUUCGAAGCUUUGGAGAUGGAGGACACGGAGGCGGUGGACGCGUUCGCGACGAGGCUGAACAGGAGGGUGUCGUCCAUCCGAGCGCUCGGCGACGAGGUUAAGGAGCUGACGGUGGUCCAGAAAAUUCUCCAAGCUGCGCCGGCGAGGUUUAUGCACUUGGUAACCUCGCUGGAGCAGUGUGUCGACUUGAAGACGCUCACCGUCGAGGACCUGUUUGGCCGGUUCAAGGCGCACGAGGAGCGCGUGCGUAUGCGCUUCGGCAGUCCCGUCGACGGGCAGCAGCUAAUGUUGUCCAUCAAGCAGUGGGAGGCGUGGUCGUCGAGGAAGUCGAGCGGCGGUGCUGAAACCUCGAGCAGCGGCGGAAAAAGUGAUGGCGGUAGUAGUCGCGGCGCCAACCGCGGCAAGGCUGCAGAGAAGCCACCACAAGCUGCAAAAGGUGAGAAAAAGAAAAAGAAAUUCAAGUGUUAUAAUUGUGGUGAAAGAGGCCAUUUCUCAAACGCAUGUCCUAAUCCAAAGAAAAAAAAGAAACAACGUUAG
Molecule: ribosomal RNA, 1068 nt
Filed under: Triticum aestivum (bread wheat)
Lineage: Eukaryota; Viridiplantae; Streptophyta; Magnoliopsida; Poales; Poaceae
Description: partial small subunit ribosomal RNA
Source: RNAcentral